Molecule: long non-coding RNA, 340 nt
Filed under: Ananas comosus (pineapple)
Lineage: Eukaryota; Viridiplantae; Streptophyta; Magnoliopsida; Poales; Bromeliaceae
Description: long non-coding RNA (ACOM_LNC037529)
Source: RNAcentral
UAGAGCUAGGCUGGUAUACUAUCCGAAUCCGGCGGAUUUUAAAAAUUUAUACCGUUGAAUAAAGAUCUAAGAGUUAAAAAUUAUUAAAUAUUUUAUAUAUUAUAUAAAUAAAUAAAAAUAAAUUAUGUAUAUAUAUAAUUUAUUCGGGUUCCGGUCGGAUUCGAGUUCGGAUUCGGGUCGGGUAAAUACAAAAUUCAUAUCUAUAUUCAUAUCUGUCUGGUUUUUAUUUUCUAUACUCAUAAUCGAAUCUAUACCCGUUUAGCUCGGAUAAAUCCGCCCCGUUCGGAUUCAGAUUCGAAUAAUAUUUCGAAUAUCUAUACCAAUUAACAUUCCUAAUCUU